AGGACGAACGCUGGCGGCGUGCUUAACACAUGCAAGUCGAGCGGUAAGGCCCUUCGGGGUACACGAGCGGCGAACGGGUGAGUAACACGUGGGUAACCUGCCCUGUACUUUGGGAUAAGCCCGGGAAACUGGGUCUAAUACCGGAUACGACCUUGUCACGCAUGUGGCAUGGUGGAAAGUUCUGGCGGUACAGGAUGGGCCCGCGGCCUAUCAGCUUGUUGGUGGGGUGAUGGCCUACCAAGGCGACGACGGGUAGCCGGCCUGAGAGGGCGACCGGCCACACUGGGACUGAGACACGGCCCAGACUCCUACGGGAGGCAGCAGUGGGGAAUCUUGCACAAUGGGCGAAAGCCUGAUGCAGCGACGCCGCGUGAGGGAUGACGGCCUUCGGGUUGUAAACCUCUUCGGCAGGGACGAAGCGCAAGUGACGGUACCUGCAGAAGAAGCACCGGCUAACUACGCGCCAGCAGCCGC
RNAcentral lists this ribosomal RNA (474 nucleotides) under uncultured bacterium. RNAcentral's name for it is "SSU rRNA". It matches the Rfam family "Bacterial small subunit ribosomal RNA", at positions 26 to 518 of the family's 1533-position model. The record is from RNAcentral.